RNAcentral lists this ribosomal RNA (2916 nucleotides) under Escherichia coli. RNAcentral's name for it is "bacterial LSU rRNA". It matches the Rfam family "Bacterial large subunit ribosomal RNA". The record is from RNAcentral. Lineage: Bacteria; Pseudomonadati; Pseudomonadota; Gammaproteobacteria; Enterobacterales; Enterobacteriaceae.
GGGUUGUGAGGUUAAGCGACUAAGCGUACACGGUGGAUGCCCUGGCAGUCAGAGGCGAUGAAGGACGUGCUAAUCUGCGAUAAGCGUCGGUAAGGUGAUAUGAACCGUUAUAACCGGCGAUUUCCGAAUGGGGAAACCCAGUGUGUUUCGACACACUAUCAUUAACUGAAUCCAUAGGUUAAUGAGGCGAACCGGGGGAACUGAAACAUCUAAGUACCCCGAGGAAAAGAAAUCAACCGAGAUUCCCCCAGUAGCGGCGAGCGAACGGGGAGGAGCCCAGAGCCUGAAUCAGUGUGUGUGUUAGUGGAAGCGUCUGGAAAGGCGCGCGAUACAGGGUGACAGCCCCGUACACAAAAAUGCACAUGCUGUGAGCUCGAUGAGUAGGGCGGGACACGUGGUAUCCUGUCUGAAUAUGGGGGGACCAUCCUCCAAGGCUAAAUACUCCUGACUGACCGAUAGUGAACCAGUACCGUGAGGGAAAGGCGAAAAGAACCCCGGCGAGGGGAGUGAAAAAGAACCUGAAACCGUGUACGUACAAGCAGUGGGAGCACGCUUCGGCGUGUGACUGCGUACCUUUUGUAUAAUGGGUCAGCGACUUAUAUUCUGUAGCAAGGUUAACCGAAUAGGGGAGCCGAAGGGAAACCGAGUCUUAACUGGGCGUUAAGUUGCAGGGUAUAGACCCGAAACCCGGUGAUCUAGCCAUGGGCAGGUUGAAGGUUGGGUAACACUAACUGGAGGACCGAACCGACUAAUGUUGAAAAAUUAGCGGAUGACUUGUGGCUGGGGGUGAAAGGCCAAUCAAACCGGGAGAUAGCUGGUUCUCCCCGAAAGCUAUUUAGGUAGCGCCUCGUGAAUUCAUCUCCGGGGGUAGAGCACUGUUUCGGCAAGGGGGUCAUCCCGACUUACCAACCCGAUGCAAACUGCGAAUACCGGAGAAUGUUAUCACGGGAGACACACGGCGGGUGCUAACGUCCGUCGUGAAGAGGGAAACAACCCAGACCGCCAGCUAAGGUCCCAAAGUCAUGGUUAAGUGGGAAACGAUGUGGGAAGGCCCAGACAGCCAGGAUGUUGGCUUAGAAGCAGCCAUCAUUUAAAGAAAGCGUAAUAGCUCACUGGUCGAGUCGGCCUGCGCGGAAGAUGUAACGGGGCUAAACCAUGCACCGAAGCUGCGGCAGCGACNNNNNNNNNNNNNNNNNNNNNNNNNNNNNNNNNNNNNNNNNNNNNNNNAUGCUGGAGGUAUCAGAAGUGCGAAUGCUGACAUAAGUAACGAUAAAGCGGGUGAAAAGCCCGCUCGCCGGAAGACCAAGGGUUCCUGUCCAACGUUAAUCGGGGCAGGGUGAGUCGACCCCUAAGGCGAGGCCGAAAGGCGUAGUCGAUGGGAAACAGGUUAAUAUUCCUGUACUUGGUGUUACUGCGAAGGGGGGACGGAGAAGGCUAUGUUGGCCGGGCGACGGUUGUCCCGGUUUAAGCGUGUAGGCUGGUUUUCCAGGCAAAUCCGGAAAAUCAAGGCUGAGGCGUGAUGACGAGGCACUACGGUGCUGAAGCAACAAAUGCCCUGCUUCCAGGAAAAGCCUCUAAGCAUCAGGUAACAUCAAAUCGUACCCCAAACCGACACAGGUGGUCAGGUAGAGAAUACCAAGGCGCUUGAGAGAACUCGGGUGAAGGAACUAGGCAAAAUGGUGCCGUAACUUCGGGAGAAGGCACGCUGAUAUGUAGGUGAGGUCCCUCGCGGAUGGAGCUGAAAUCAGUCGAAGAUACCAGCUGGCUGCAACUGUUUAUUAAAAACACAGCACUGUGCAAACACGAAAGUGGACGUAUACGGUGUGACGCCUGCCCGGUGCCGGAAGGUUAAUUGAUGGGGUUAGCCGCAAGGCGAAGCUCUUGAUCGAAGCCCCGGUAAACGGCGGCCGUAACUAUAACGGUCCUAAGGUAGCGAAAUUCCUUGUCGGGUAAGUUCCGACCUGCACGAAUGGCGUAAUGAUGGCCAGGCUGUCUCCACCCGAGACUCAGUGAAAUUGAACUCGCUGUGAAGAUGCAGUGUACCCGCGGCAAGACGGAAAGACCCCGUGAACCUUUACUAUAGCUUGACACUGAACAUUGAGCCUUGAUGUGUAGGAUAGGUGGGAGGCUUUGAAGUGUGGACGCCAGUCUGCAUGGAGCCGACCUUGAAAUACCACCCUUUAAUGUUUGAUGUUCUAACGUUGACCCGUAAUCCGGGUUGCGGACAGUGUCUGGUGGGUAGUUUGACUGGGGCGGUCUCCUCCUAAAGAGUAACGGAGGAGCACGAAGGUUGGCUAAUCCUGGUCGGACAUCAGGAGGUUAGUGCAAUGGCAUAAGCCAGCUUGACUGCGAGCGUGACGGCGCGAGCAGGUGCGAAAGCAGGUCAUAGUGAUCCGGUGGUUCUGAAUGGAAGGGCCAUCGCUCAACGGAUAAAAGGUACUCCGGGGAUAACAGGCUGAUACCGCCCAAGAGUUCAUAUCGACGGCGGUGUUUGGCACCUCGAUGUCGGCUCAUCACAUCCUGGGGCUGAAGUAGGUCCCAAGGGUAUGGCUGUUCGCCAUUUAAAGUGGUACGCGAGCUGGGUUUAGAACGUCGUGAGACAGUUCGGUCCCUAUCUGCCGUGGGCGCUGGAGAACUGAGGGGGGCUGCUCCUAGUACGAGAGGACCGGAGUGGACGCAUCACUGGUGUUCGGGUUGUCAUGCCAAUGGCACUGCCCGGUAGCUAAAUGCGGAAGAGAUAAGUGCUGAAAGCAUCUAAGCACGAAACUUGCCCCGAGAUGAGUUCUCCCUGACCCUUUAAGGGUCCUGAAGGAACGUUGAAGACGACGACGUUGAUAGGCCGGGUGUGUAAGCGCAGCGAUGCGUUGAGCUAACCGGUACUAAUGAACCGUGAGGCUUAACCUUACAACGCCGAAG